This 671-nucleotide long non-coding RNA is filed under the name Cricetulus griseus (Chinese hamster). RNAcentral's name for it is "lncRNA (ENSCGRG00015011666.2)". The record is from RNAcentral. Lineage: Eukaryota; Metazoa; Chordata; Mammalia; Rodentia; Cricetidae.
GUGAAGCUCUGAAAUUCUCUCCAGUCCUAACUUUUCUGCUUUUUCUUCUGUCAGAAUUUCCUCAGUUACUUAAAAACAGAAGGAAAAGCAGGAGGACUAUGCUGACCACACUCUGGGAAAAAUAUCUUCAGUAGUCAAGAAUGUAAAAGCAGUGUCUGAUGUGGUCAUUAGAAGGAUGAGCAAAAGUAUGAGAAGAGAUUGGAGGGGUCCAGGAAGAGCAUCUCUUAGAAAGGCUUGACUUGAAACCCAUGGCAACCAAGGGAAAAAGAUUAUUUCAUGUGAUCACCAUGAACCCAGUCGUUAUCUAUUCAGAAACAGGAAUAAUGCUACUAUACAGUCCUAUGCGUUACUGAUUUCAAAACACUUUUCAAAGAUAAGAUGAGAUUUCAUGACAAGUUGGGUCAUACCAAUGUGAAGACAGCAAAGAGGAUAUCACAUGCUCUAGGGAUGGCAUCCCACUUACAUGGUCUAUCUACCACAGUGACUUUUGGAUAUCCAAGAUUCUGUUUUUUCCAGAUUACUAGAGGGAUGAAGUUGAGAUCCAUGAAGUACAGAAGAGAAAAUAGUUUAUGUGACAUGACAUCAGCUCUCAUAUACAUGCCGUGAGUUUCUUCUCAGAAAUUGGAAACCUUGAAUCCUGAUCACUCAUUGGUCUCAAGCACAAUACCCGC